AUAAGUGCUGAAAGCAUCUAAGCACGAAACUUGCCCCGAGAUGAGUUCUCCCUGAGACUUUAAGUCUCCUGAAGGAACGUUGAAGACGACGACGUUGAUAGGCCGGGUGUGUAAGCGCAGCGAUGCGUUGAGCUAACCGGUACUAAUGAACCGUGAGGCUUAACCUU
This 167-nucleotide ribosomal RNA is filed under the name Pseudomonas aeruginosa. Its description in RNAcentral is "partial 23S ribosomal RNA". It matches the Rfam family "Bacterial large subunit ribosomal RNA", at positions 2764 to 2925 of the family's 2925-position model. The record is from RNAcentral. RNAcentral also lists the same sequence under 1 other name. Lineage: Bacteria; Pseudomonadati; Pseudomonadota; Gammaproteobacteria; Pseudomonadales; Pseudomonadaceae.